RNAcentral lists this unclassified non-coding RNA (695 nucleotides) under Nilaparvata lugens (brown planthopper). Its description in RNAcentral is "pancreatic triacylglycerol lipase, transcript variant X2". The record is from RNAcentral. Lineage: Eukaryota; Metazoa; Arthropoda; Insecta; Hemiptera; Delphacidae.
AACUGCUAGAACUGAACUAUUAAUUCAUUGCAAAAUAUUUUAUUGACUAUGUUAUCUUUCAGUGCUAUAAGAUCUGCUUUAUUUACAAGCCCCAAUGUCAUAAAAUGAACCUUUAUUUAUUACAAAGAACAAGAAACAUCACAUUCAGUAUUCAUUUGUGAAGUAAUUGAUUCAGUUUUCUAGUGUUGAAAGAAUGCACGGCAUUCAUUUAUCUUAUCAGGAUAGACCGAACUAUUAGUGAGAGGAUUAGUAAGUGUAGUUACUCAAGUUCAAGUGUGAUGAAGUUUUCAUGUUUAGAAAUGAGACAUAUAAUUUGUAUAAUAUUAUUUUUUCUUCAUAGUACAAAUUCUUAUUCCAUUACGAAAAAUGGAGAUGCGGACUAUACUGAGGAAGAAAUCAAUUAUUUGUAUCUCACAAGCAUGAUGGAUUUAAUGAGCAAUUACUCAAUAUCAGACUCGGAGAAAUUUUUCCCAUUCUCAUCAGACUUUGAAGUUGAAUUUUACCUAUUCACCAGUUCAUAUCUACCACUUUUGCAGUGAUCCUCAUACUUACGAAGAACUGAUCACUGGAAAUAUUAGCAGUGUUACAAAUUCAAGUUUUGAUUUUGCGAAAGAAACAAAAAUUCUUGUUCAUGGCUGGCUAAGCAGUGCUUUUUCUGACUUCAGCUAUGAAAUGUUAAGUGCAAUUCUCCAGAA